Molecule: long non-coding RNA, 10071 nt
Filed under: Coffea arabica (coffee)
Lineage: Eukaryota; Viridiplantae; Streptophyta; Magnoliopsida; Gentianales; Rubiaceae
Description: long non-coding RNA (CARA_LNC000288)
Source: RNAcentral
UUUUUUUUUUUUUUUUUUUUGGGUGGAGAAUUUCCUUUUUUUUUGGUACGAUUAAAGGAGAAUUUCCAAGUGGAGGUAUGUUUGUGGUUGACUUCACUGACUCAACUAGUUAAGUUGUGGGGGCUUAGGGUUAGAACUUAGAGGGGGUAGAGGAUGUUGACUUUUUUCCCUUUGAGGAAGUUGACUUCCCUUAAUGUAUUUUUAAAUCAUAUCCCUCUUACUUUCUUUCACUUUCUUUCUUUCUCAUUCUUUGUUGGGACCUUUUUAUUUUUUAUUUUUUUGGGAGUGCAUUGUCAACUCUUCCUCUUUCUAUUACCUUCUUCCACUCAGCCUUUUCCUUUUUGGAUUUAAUAUUGUUUUCUCUCUUUUUUUUUUGGUUUGGAUGCUUGGUAGGAUGUGGCUUGGGAAGUUUCGGUGCAAGAAGGGAGAACGUGUGGAACUAAAAAACGGUUAAAUACAGUUGGCAACGCUUUGACAAUGCAACAAAGAAUUGAAUAAUUCACAGAUAUUUGAAAAGGAGAUAAAAGUAAAACCGCUAGUGUAGUGUAUAGUGUAUACCCUAUCCCAAAUCAGCCGUGUAUUUUACUGCUUAGGCAAGUACUCCGCCGUAUAACACUUGGAAGUUUCUAAUUCUAGGCGCAUGUCCUUCAGAAAAAAUUCUAGCCGCACGGUUGGGAUGUCACACACCAUUUUUUUUUCAACAGCCUGAAUCAGACUUUUGUUGUUUUAUAAACCUAAUCCCAGAAUUAACCUCAAAAGCCGGCAACUCUUGAGGCAAUCCCAGGGACUUAUAUCCCAACCCAAACCCAACCCCAACCCCGAUGUGGGACAAAUGUACCUAUAGGGGGGACCUGCUGCUAAGUGGGAUACUACCACCCAAUACCCUUUCAACCCUGAGGCAAUUUGUCUUUUUUCAACAGCCUGAAUCAGACUUUUGUUGUUUUAUAAACCUAAUCCCGUCACACACCAUUAAUUAUCCACUUUGUGAACAUUCUAUUCCAAAAAGCUUCUGUGGAUUGGAUGGUAUUCAACCACCAGCGUUUGGGUUAGUGGCCACCACUUAGCUUGGUAGGGUAGCCUCCCCACCAAAAUGUCAUAUUUAAGUGGUUUAUUUCAAAAAAUUCAGCCGGAUGUGUACACUCAUUUGGUCCGAUGGUGAUUUAAUCCUCUCCGAGUUAUUCCUGAGCCUCCUUAGGUCCGCCCCCUCCCCCUUAGUGUAGAAUAGAUUAGGUUAUACAACUGUUGUCGUUUCCAAAAAAAAAAAAAAGAAAAAAAAAGAUUGGAUGGUAUUCGGUGAUAAAAUAUAAGUGAAAGAUGCUGAAUUCAAAACCUCCUAUUCACAUUUAAAAAAAAAUUUUGAUACUGAAUUCAAGACUUCUUAUUCACAAAAAAAAAUUCUGUCUAUAUCAUUAGUAUGAAUUCGGAGGAAUAAAAUUGGCCCAAUUAGUAUUGUACUAAAAAACCUAGGCCCAGCUUGAUUACAUUUUUUUUUUCACUGACAAUCAAAUAUCUUCAUACUUUGUUCUGCUAAUUAUACAUGUAGUUUUUGACUAGUAUCUAGACAGUCUUAUUUUGGUCCAAUGUUAGGAAUUAAACGGUUGAUACACAAUAUUAUAAACCUAAUAUCAUGUAGAAGUUAUUUCUCUCAUCCGAAAACACAUCCUAUUGAUAUAUAUUAGUUGAAAAAAAGGGGAAAAAAAACGAUAUUUACGCAUCCCUCUUUGAUAUUCAUGCAUUCUCACCAACUUAAAUUGGCCUUGAAUGUAAUGAAAAUUGAAGUGGUCAUAAUGUGUGGAUGCCAAAUAGAAACUUGUGAAUAUCUUUUUUUUUUUUUUUUCAAAUAUUAGUUGGUGCGCAGUUUAUGUUAGCGAGUCUUUUUUGAGAAAUAUGAAACACGGGCACUUGAUUGCAAAUAAAAAAUAUGGCUGUAAUCUAGAAAAUAAAAAGUAAUACUACUCCGAACAUAUUUAGAACAUCAAUCCCUACGUUUUAUAACUCUGCUAAUUGUUCUUGAGGUCCCUUGGUACUUCUAUAUCCACCCUAAUCAUUUCCUACCUCCAUUUCGGUUGAAUGGAGAAUAACUUGGUUCACAAUAUUUCUACAUAUUUUUAUCCAUCAAACAUCUAAAAUGCAUUUUGAUCAAGACAUUUUCAUGACUUUCGUUCCUGCUGCCUCAUGCAUCUGCUAUCAUACUCUGAAUUUUGCCAACAAGCAAACUGGAUCCUACCACUAGUUUAUCCUUCACCAUCACCCUCACCCUCACCCUCACCCUUUAUGUUUUUUUGGAUCGCCUACCUAUUUAUUUCUGUGAAAACAUAUUUACUGUGUUUGGUUCUACUUGUCAACUUCUCAUAACUCCUGUAAUUUGGUUAAAUAGAUCUUUAAACUGGGAAGAUAUGUAGACUGUAACCUAAUAAUAUACCAAAGAAAUGCUCUCAUAAAUCAGAGAAAUCAGAAAGAUACAGCAAUACCUAAAACACUUUUUUCUCUUCCUUUCUUUCUUGGCAAGGAAAAAGGGCAGCUACAAGUACAACCAGAAAAGCCUAAACGCAGAAAAUUGUCAACCUUUUCAUGUCAUGCCAGUAAUGCCAAUACAACAUUUGAAACAAAAUGUCUCCUAAAAUAAAGCAAAACAUGUUUAGGGCAUGGUUUUUAACUUGUAAUCAGUGAAACCACUGAAAACCUCAACAGUUUAGCAACUCAAACAAAUGCCAUAACAGCAGCGCCAUUGACACAAGUACUUCUGUGAGAAAACGUACUAAAGCAGAUUCCCUUGAUCAGGUCUAGUUAACAGGUUUUUUUUUCACAUUCUAUCUUCCCUCCUGCGUGGGGCACAAGUAAUGAUUUCAUCAACUCUUAAAAUCAUCUCAGCAGCCUCAGUUGCAGAGAGUAACACAGCUUGCUUAACUUUAAAUGCUUCAGAGAUUCCAAGCUCUGCCAUAUCUCCUACCUGUCAAGAUCACAAAAUACAUUUAUUUGGCAUAGACUGACACUAGAAAUUGGUGCGAGUUACAUAAUUUCACUCUAUAGGAAUAAUUAUCGACAAAGCUUUAAUUCACAUCAUCAAUGGUUCAAAUGGCAAUCAGAUCUCCAAUGAACAAACCAUAGCCUAGUUGUCCACUAUUUCACUUACAGAUCCAGAUAUGACAUCAAUCCCUGCAGCGCUUCCUUCCUCGUGAUGUUCUGCACGGAGUUGGGAAACCAAUUCAGCACUGUCCAGACCUGCAUUAUCAGCAAUAAUAGUUGGAAUGGCCAAUAAUGCUCGUGAGAAAGCUUCAAUGGCAUGAGACUUUUUCCCAGGGGUCUUCCUAGCUAGUUCAUCCACUGCUUUUGCCAUCACCAUCUCUGGCCAUCCACCUCCAAACAACACUCUACUGUCAUUUACAGUCUGAGAUAAGACACACAAGGCAUCAUGUAGGGAUCUUUCAGCUUCAUCCAGUACAUGAGAACUGCCACAAGAAUCAGGAAGACAUCAACAAAGAUAAGACAGAUGAGUAAAGAUUCCUCCAGAUCUGCAAUAGCUGACAAAAUCACUAUUAUAAUAGCCAAGCACCAUAUCACACCACAGGCAAAUGCUAAACAAUCAAAAGAGGAUGCAGGUUUGGUCAACAUAAAUGUGCUUGUAGUCUAUGCAAGCAAAUACCAAAGAGGAAACCAAAACACAUGCAUCAUUAUUUCCCUAAACUGGUCCCAAGACACUGCCUGCCAUAUAUAAUACUGUAAAGAUCAAUACAGAAAAUUCCACUUUGGAAGUUAAACAUCUAUUGCAGUAAACCUGCAUAAUUCGCAGUUCUGUGCUGGAAUCUGCAGGCUUUUGAUUUGAACUAGUAAAUACAUGCUUAAUUCACUUUUUUCAAACAACUUGUCAAUGAAGAUUAAACAAAAGAGCCAGUUGGACAUCAAAUGGCACAUUGAAUCUGUAAGCUGACUUGCCCAAAGAUGGUGCUAAUAAACUCAAGUAGAUGAUGCAAGAUACAAGAGAAGACUAGAAACAAGAGAACAUCCACAAGAACUAGACGGAAAAUUAUGCACCUGAGACAAAAAUUGUAAGAAAGAGAUCUUUCAAGAACUGGUAAACUAUCUCCAUCAAUAAAAUUGACAACCAUGACAAAGCAUGCACUAGAAAGAAAUAGGGCAUGGGAAUUGACAUGGCCUCAACCCUUGAGCUAGUCAAUGGUUUUGGAAGUUGGCUAAACCGAACUAGUCCUGGGUUUAGUAUUUAUAUAUUUUGCCCAAAUAUUUUGGGAAAAAAAAGGUCUACUUGCAGACUACAGCAACAAGACAACAUCACCUAUAGCACAGCAUAUGAUGAUAGUUAGCAGGAUAACAGCGUAAAUUGGUCAAGAAAAGUACCUUGCACCCCUAAGUACAAUUGUACAGGCCUGACCCAUUUCACAACCAGAAAAGUGGAUCAAUUUGUCCUCACCAAUCAUAAUUUCCUCAAUAAGUUUACACUGUCCAAGCUUAACAGACUCAGGAUUGUCAAAGGUUGAAGCAAUCUCCCCACCAGUAACGAGUGCAAGUCGCUCAAUACCAUCAAAAUCAGCAUGCUCUAUUGCAAGUACUCCAGCAUCAGCAAACAAUUCCUCUGGAAAAUUGUAGAUCAACUGACGGUUAACAAAACAGUUUAUCCCAUGAGCAAUAAUCUUCUGCACCUUCUCUCUCAUCUUCUCCUUUUCAGCCCCUUCAAUCUCUGCAACUUUAGACAUUGAAUCAACACGCACACGUGCCCCAUAGAUUUUCACUUUGUCUGUGUCCAUUGCAGUAUUAGCCACUAAAAUCUUUGCAUUCUCAAUUCUCUUUGGUUGACCAAUACCAAUUUUCUUGUCCAAAAUAAAUCUGCAACACAAGAUGCAGUACACAAUAAAAAGAGUCCAGAAAGAGGUUUUCAGAUCUUCAAAAAUUUAGCAGCAAGACAGCCAAAGGUGAAUGCAAAUCUCUAAAUUUAGCAUUUGGAAACAAAAAAUUGAAAAGCUUGGUGUUGUUUGUGCACAAAAGAACAUGAAAACCACUGACAAAGCAAAUCAAUCUUUUAUUCAAAGAUAUAGGAAAUAACCAUAUUAGACACCAAUAACAUACAAUAGAAUAGACCUCUGCCCCUAUACAAAACUACAAAUGAUGUUUUAAAAGUAGAGUACAUGCAUAAGGUAGCAUUUAAGGAAUUUUCUUAUAGAAGGUUAAAUGCAAAUAACAAAAUUUCUCUUCCGCAGUCAUGCAAACAACAAUAUUUCUCUUCCAUAGUCACCAUCUAUGUAUGCAUCUUUUAAGCAGAAAAAAUCCAGGAUAUUAGUCCAAGCAGCAAUAGAUCCAAAUCUUGGCAGGGUGUCCUCACAGCUCAACAAAAAGUCAAGAACAUAACCCCACUCACCACUUUCCCAACGUCAGGAAAAAGGUAAAGAGGAAUAGUAAACAAGCAAGCAAGAACAAACAAACAAACAAACAAACAAACAAGAAAAAGGCUUAAAAAGUAGCAAAUAGGAUAAAAUUGAAUAGCCUUACCCCUCAUCUAAAAAUGAAUCCUUCAGUGAACCUCCAGGUUUUUUUAUAAUUUGAAUAGCCUCCAGAUUUGUACUGCCCUGUCAUUUAGAAUUUGUCAGAAAAAGCAUAAAAGAGUGACAAAAAACCAAAACUCCAACCCACCAAAGGUACAUUUACCUUUAGCCUCAUGACAGCAUCAACAGCUAGUUUUGCAAAAUGUUCCUUGUCCUGAGACAAAAUUUUUGAACUCAAAGUAGUCAUUGCAAUCUUCAUUAAAUCUGAUUUGAAUUUCUCUGCACAGUCCAAUGAAAAAAAGAGUUAAAAUUGCUAAUGCAUAUUAAGAACAACCAAUCAGCAGUAGAUGAAGCAUCUAUGUAAAUAUGAACCCCUCUCAUGCCAGCAAAUGCAUCAAUAAGUAAAUGAAGGAGAACCACUUAAGUUUGAAGUAAUAAGGGGAAAAUCAAGUAAUAAUAGAUAGGUCAAAAGGUUGUAUAAUCACUCAAAUAUCAUACACAGCAACUAUAUCCAAUUAAAUCCCAAGAAGUAACAGUGAUACCUGCAUCUUGUUUAUUGUCAACAACCUUCUCCAACAAUGCAUUCCGAGCACAUUCAGCUGCCACACGAUAGCCUAUCGAAAGCAGUAAACCAAAUUAAGAUGAAAACUGAGCAUACAUAGGUAACUAAAUUACCUUAAGUGAGGUGACAUAGGUAACAUAAUGCUGUUAAUCCAGGACAAAAACAGAGAACAAAAUAGGACAUCAUAAGCACAUGUGCAAAAUUCAAUUGGACACUUAAACUUUCAGCUAUGCUAUAAACUAGAAGAACCAAUAGACUUGCAUGAAAUUAAGCCAACAGAUGCAACAAUAGAAGUCCCAAUAAGAAUCUAAUCAUCAUUAGAACUGUUAUCAGCAUAAUAUAAAGAGCUUUGUCAACAUCAGUGUAGGAUUGUAGUUCAAAUAAGAGACAGGACUGCAUGAUCAACAGAACAAAUGAAGAGUCCACUAUUACAAUGAGCAACAGUAGCCAUUGUCUAGGCCAUCAUAAAGAAGUCCAACUUAGACAACAUAUAUCAUAGAGUUCUAACCAUUGAAUGUCUCACAAACAGUGCAAAGAAUUGCAAAGGUACCUAAGAUCACCUACAUAAACUAUAAGAUGUAAGGAAAGCAACAAAAAUAGUGGAAUUUCAAUCAACAUUUUCUGAACUUCUGGUGUGCUAAAUGCAGACUUCCAAUUGUUUCAAGUAGUGUUAAGAUAUUAAUAAGUAUAGGGAAAAAGAUAAAUUAAAACCGACCUGAGAUGAUUGUCAUUGGAUGAAUUUUAGCAUUCACCAGCUUUUCUGCCUCCCGUAGAAGCUCCCCAGCCAAAACAACAACUGAAGUUGUCCCAUCACCUACUUCAUCAUCCUGAACUUUUGAGAUGUCUAUAUGAUGGAAUUAAAGGAACAACACCACAUGCCAUUGUUUAAUCAAUUCUUCGGCAUAACUAUUUAAUAAUAUUGUUAACAAUUAAUACUCCAAAAAGAUCACACAUCCUCAAGAGCAAAUUCAUCAAUGCACAUAAAACUCCACACUAAACAGCAGUAGAAGGGAAGAACCUUGUGGAACUAGGAACAUGGUAAGACUGAGAAGAGUCUAAGAAACAAACAAAAAGGAUACCAACAAGGACUUUUGCAGCUGGGUUGUCAAUAUGGAGGGACUUCAAGAUGGUGGCACCAUCAUUUGUAACUGUUACACUUCUUCCUCUGCCUGUUGAUUGUAAAAUCUUAUCCUGCAAAGCAGAAAUAUAAAUUAACUAAGGAAAUGCAAACAUUGCAUGUACUCAAACUGUCCACUAUACGAAGAUCAGUUGCACUGUACCAUUCCUUUGGGUCCCAAGGUUGUCUUCACCAAGUCGGCUAUUGCCAUAGCUCCAAUAAAAGAAGCCUGGUACAUACCAAAUGCUAAUCCUUGUUAGGAGGGAAAAAAGCUGCAUUUAAACAAUUGCAUAACUCAUAGUUUCGGUAGAUCCAGAUCCACACUAGUCUCUAAUACUCUUCAGCAGUGUACAAAUUACAUGUUACUAAAUGAAACUAUCAUUAACUUGUAGUAAUACUAACUUACCAUUCUAGCCCUUUCUCCCUUUUCUUCGUGGCUUCAUCUUUAAAAAGUUUCUCAACCUACAAUACUCAAAGGAAAAAAGAAUAAAUGUAUGCAAAAUUUGUACAACAUAUUAUUGUGAUAAAGAAAAAGCAAUUCAAGGCCACAAAAUUAUUAACAUACCGCCAUUGUGAAGGAACUUGGCAGAGAAAAAACUGAACCACAAGUGCUCAAAGAUAAUAAUGAUCUGAAACAAGAAAAAACCAUGCUUUCUUCAAUGUAAGCCAAAGAAAACCAUAAUUAACUGUUUGAUAUUUUUAUCCAAGUAAUUCCUUCAAAAUACAAGAAUCUAACUUCCUCAUCUUCAUUAUUUUUUUCAUGAACAACGUGCCCUCAGCCCAUGACCUUUUAAAGCGACUCAAAAUGAAUAAAAAAUUAUUCAAAACAGCAGAAAAACAAGCAUUACUUUUGAGACCAACGGAGCAAAAAGAAUCAAAGUGGCCACAUACACCACACUAACUUAAUUAAGCGAAAAAAAUGUGUUUAUUAGUCAUUCAUUUUAUACCCUUUCUUAGUUGGCAAACAGUGCAAUGCCUCUACUCACCGAACUGUUCAAUGCUCAUCUCAUCAUUAAAUCUAAAUGUAGAAAUCAGGUUAAAAAAACUAAUAUUUAAUCAAUGACUCCAUUUUUCUACCUCCUAAACAAACCCAAAUUGCACAGCCCUACUUUAUACCAUCGCUAUACCACUCCCCAUUCCCAAAAAAAUUACCAAUCUGGAAACUAUUAGGUCUAAAAGCAGUCUAAUUCCACCACAAAGUGCGAGUACUUAAUGGAAGAAAAUUGAAAAUUUUUACACAAAAAUACGAGCUCAAAUUAAAAACGUAAUACUUCCAACAUAUUAGUGAGGGAUGUAAGAAUUUACCCUAGAUUUCGAAAUGGAUAGUUGUUGAUUGGUGGCAAAGAACUCAACCUGCUUGCUUUUUCUUGAACGACGGUUAAAGACGGUGGAGAUGGCUGAAGUGGUGGUUUGCGGCCGCUGCAGCAGAGGAGAGAGGGAAAGAGGGCACGGGGUUUUGAGUAAUGGCGCUGUAUGAAGGUUUUGAGUGCGUACUUUGUAGUGCUUCGACCUUAGGCUGUGUUUGGAAGUGCUAGAACAUUGUAGAGACUAGGAAAUUAGGGUCAAAUUCACAAUAAUAAUGACAAAAUAAAAAACUACAAACAAUAAAAAGUGUGUUUUGAUGUGGAUUAUUUGGGAUAAUUUUUUCAAAAAAAAACACUAUAACUCUUUUUUAUGCGAUGUAUGUCAAAUAAAAAGAUGGUUGAAAAAUUUGUUGAUAAUGCAAGCAAAUAAAUUUUGACAAAUAAUAUACUAUCCUAACAAUUUAUUAACUAGUAUUUUGACCCGCGCAUUAGCCUGGUUCUUUUAUUAGCAUAAGUUGUGAAUUUAUACAAGUAUGAAUAAUUCAAAAAAAGAUAAAACAAUAUUCUUAUGUAUUCAUGAAUAUUUAUGUUGGAAAAUUAAUCAUUUGUUUGGGUACAAAAUUUUUUCUCAAAUAAUAUUUUAUUUGAAUCGUAAACAGAUUUUCAACAAUGUUUUCAUCACAUAUAUAUCACAUCACAAAAAAUAUUAGAGUAUUUUCAAAUAAUCCCCUAUCUAAACACACCCAAUGUUUUCAAGUGGUCAAGUACCAUUUUACUUUUUGAAAACUUCUAUACAUACAUUUAUUUUAACAUAAUACUACUAUUUAUUAAAUAUUCUUUUCAUUAAUCAUUGGAUUUUUAUAUGAUUAGAAACCUUAAACUAUAUCUUUGUACUCAACUAAUUACCAAAUAUGCAAAAAUAUAUUUUCUUUAUUAUGAAUAUUAAUUUUCUAGCAAUGUGAAUGUAGUAGAAAUUAAAAUAAAACUUUUAAUAUGCAAAAAAGUUGCGCGACCAACAGGGGAAGAAAGGGGAGGGUUCCGAGAGGGGGAAAAGGAAGAGGGAGGGAUGGAGGAGAGAGAGAGGACAGGAAAAAAAGAAACUGAUGCUUGUAGGGAAAGUUGGGUGGUGCCAAUGGGGAGGGAGGAAGGAGGGGAGAGGGAGGGAGGAAAAAGGAAGGGAAAACAAAGGAAAAGGAAAAGGAAAAGAAGAAAAAUUAUUUUCCCAACUCUCAAAUAUACCAAAAUUUUUCUACUAAUUUUAUAUUAAAAUUAUAAUAAAAUUUUAUACACACGCUCAAAAAGCACACCUUCCCAGCAGAAUAUCCAUUUACAUUAUGCUGGAGAGUUAAUUGUUUCUUCAAUUUUACGAGUGUUUGUUUAGUUUCAAAAGGAAGACAUACCAAAAUUUCAUUUUCUUGGAACUGAAAGAUAAAAUUUAUGACUUUUACAACUCUAUAGUCAAUUCGUCAUAUCAAAUACUACUACUAUUAAGUUACACACAACCUAGCAUUCUUUACCCAGUUUGCCAAAUGUCAUGGCCAUUUACUCCAAAAUAUAUCCCCGAAUCAGCUGGCUAGUUUCUCAUUAAGAGAUUCU